AACGUACGCUGGCGGCACGCCUAACACAUGCAAGUCGAACGAAGUAGCAAUACUUAGUGGCAGACGGGUGAGUAACAUGUAGGUAUCUGCCCUUUGGCCUGGAAUAACACGAGGAAACUUGUGCUAAUACCGGAUAAGUCUUUACGGAGAAAGCUUUAUGCACCAUUGGAUGAGCCUGCACUUGAUUAGUUUGUUGGUGGGGUAAUGGCCUACCAAGACUGUGAUCAAUAGCUGAUUUGAGAGGAUGAUCAGCCACAUUGGGACUGAGACACGGCCCAAACUCCUACGGGAGGCAGCAGUGGGGAAUCUUGCACAAUGGAGGAAACUCUGAUGCAGCGAUGCCGCGUGAGUGAAGAAGGCCCUUGGGUUGUAAAGCUCUUUCGUCGGGGAAGAAAAUGACUGUACCCGAAUAAGAAGGUCCGGCUAACUUCGUGCCAGCAGCCGCGGUAAUACGAAGGGACCUAGCGUAGUUCGGAAUUACUGGGCUUAAAGAGUUCGUAGGUGGUUGAAAUAGUUGGUGGUGAAAUCCCAGAGCUUAACUCUGGAACUGCCAUCAAAACUUUUCAGCUAGAGUAUGAUAGAGGAAAGCAGAAUUUCUAGUGUAGAGGUGAAAUUCGUAGAUAUUAGAAAGAAUACCAAAUGCGAAGGCAGCUUUCUGGAUCAUUACUGACACUGAGGAACGAAAGCAUGGGUAGCGAAGAGGAUUAGAUACCCUCGUAGUCCAUGCCGUAAACGAUGUGUGUUAGACGUUGGAAAUUUAUUUUCAGUGUCGCAGGGAAACCGAUAAACACACCGCCUGGGGAGUACGACCGCAAGGUUAAAACUCAAAUGAAUUGACGGGGACCCGCACAAGUAGUGGAGCAUGUGGUUUAAUUCGAAGAUACGCGCAGAACCUUACCAACACUUGACAUGUUCGUCGCGACUCUAAGAGAUUAGAGUUUUCGGUUCGGCCGGACGAAACACAGGUGCUGCAUGGCUGUCGUCAGCUCGUGUCGUGAGAUGUUGGGUUAAGUCCCGCAACGAGCGCAACCCUCACUUUUAGUUGCCAUCAUUAAGUUGGGCACUCUGAAAGAACUGCCAGUGAUAAGCUGGAGGAAGGUGGGGAUGACGUCAAGUCCUCAUAGCCCUUACGUGUUGGGCUACACACGUGCUACAAUGGUAUCUACAACAGGGAGCAAGACUGCGAAGUUAAGCAAAUCCCUAAAAGAUACCUCAGUUCGGAUUGCACUCUGCAACUCGAGUGCAUGAAGCUGGAAUUACUAGUAAUCGUGGAUCAGCGUGCCACGGUGAAUGCGUUCCCGGGUCU
RNAcentral lists this ribosomal RNA (1306 nucleotides) under uncultured bacterium. RNAcentral's name for it is "bacterial SSU rRNA". It matches the Rfam family "Bacterial small subunit ribosomal RNA", at positions 28 to 1381 of the family's 1533-position model. The record is from RNAcentral.